UGUUUGCUAAACAAGGUAAGACAGG
RNAcentral lists this non-coding RNA (25 nucleotides) under Rattus norvegicus (Norway rat). Lineage: Eukaryota; Metazoa; Chordata; Mammalia; Rodentia; Muridae. The record is from RNAcentral.